GUGGGGAAUAUUGCGCAAUGGGGGAAACCCUGACGCAGCAACGCCGCGUGAAGGAUGAAGGCUUUCGGGUUGUAAACUUCUUUGAUCAGGGACGAAAAAAAUGACGGUACCUGAAGAACAAGCCACGGCUAACUACGUGCCAGCAGCCGCGGUAAUACGUAGGUGGCAAGCGUUGUCCGGAUUUACUGGGUGUAAAGGGCGUGUAGGCGGGAAGGUAAGUCAGAUGUGAAAUUCCGGGGCUCAACUCCGGCGCUGCAUCUGAAACUAUCUUUCUUGAGUGAUGGAGAGGAAAGCGGAAUUCCUAGUGUAGCGGUGAAAUGCGUAGAUAUUAGGAGGAACACCAGUGGCGAAGGCGGCUUUCUGGACAUUAACUGACGCUGAGGCGCGAAAGCGUGGGGAGCAAACAGGAUUAGAAACCCGAGUAGUCC
This 428-nucleotide ribosomal RNA is filed under the name uncultured bacterium. RNAcentral's name for it is "bacterial SSU rRNA". It matches the Rfam family "Bacterial small subunit ribosomal RNA", at positions 354 to 796 of the family's 1533-position model. The record is from RNAcentral.